GGGACAACCGUUUUCCAGAAGGUGAUGAGAAACUAGCGGUGUGAAUCCCACACCUCGUCCUGGAUCCAAAGCCUGGCAACGUCCGAAGACCGUAAUCUUGGACUGAAUGUGCACUCACCCAGCAGAGACAGCAAAUUAUAUCCUCAGGGAAUCUUCCCUCAGGAGGGCCAUGGUUUUGUGGGCAUAUUCUUUCCACGGUGAAGAAAUAAAAGUGAAUCUAGGGGUAAACCACUUUGCUUGGUGCACGUUCACAAAGCCUGAUCUCUGCCGCGAAGAUGGGCACGUAAGGCUUGUUAAGUGAAUGUUAAUAACCAGGUGCUCGGACCUUCUUAGAGGGCUGGUUAUCUCCCGUUUCAGUCAUUAGUGGCCCGUGGGAAUAGUGGCUCCAUAAAACCUUGUGUAUUUUCUUUCGAGAUUUCUCUGUCAGGCUUAUGGCGAGGCAUACCCAGAAAUGAUGCACGUGGGGGACUUUGACAUCACACACAUCCGUCCCGGGAGCCGGGAGUGGCCUCGCCCUUCAGAGAGCAGUGUCACCUCCGCAGGAUGCCGGCUGCUUAUGCGGAGGCUGUGGCACGAGGAGAUGGCAGGAGACUCACCGUCGACGUCGGGACAAGCAGAGUCUAGAACCGCUCCCACUCCAUGCCCAGUGUUGCUCUACUCUGGGCAGCGUGAGACAGCGACACCACUUUGAGCCAUUUGGAUCGGGCGGCCUGUGGCUUGCGGCCAAAUACGUCCUCAGGGAGACAAGGCUCACGUGCCCAGGCGACCCAGAACCCAGACUCAGGAGACCUGAGUUGAUUCCAGUCCCAGCUCCCCCGGAAAUUUAACCCGAUGUCACUCUCUUCACCUGCACAGCGUGGAGCGAGAAAAUGGAUCCGCUUUGCGGCGCAGUUAACUCUAUGGGAAACAACGAUAAUUGCCCUGGAACCGAACACCAGCCUCCCCUUGCGCUCACUGAUAACGAUGCAAAUUCUCCUGCUUGCCUAUAAUGUGGCUCAGAACAAAAAUGCCUUUUCUGGUCCGUGCUGGGAAUAAUUCCUGAAACUCAGUAAGUCUUAACACGCCCCCAGCUCCUCUCGCCAGGGGGGUAGAAUUCAUCCCACGGAGAGUCAGUGACGACAGCCCCCCGGGGUGGGGGUCCAGCCAGCAGGUCUCAUCGGGGGCUGGGGCUUCUAACUUAGCUGUGGAACCCUGAAAUGUUUCCAAGUUGAAUUAUAUAGAAAUCGAGGCCCCUCAGGACUGUUGUUCUCCUAGUCUGGUACAGAAGCAAAGGCCGCUUCCAGGGUAGAGGGGUCUCCUUUGGGGGUGAAUCAACGUCCUCAAAACACGCAGAAAACCCCGUUUGUCUGAACAAGGACCACAGAGUCUGGUGAAAAAAGAUGCCUGCCCACAAGCCCCCCUCCCCAAACUGGCCUUCGUUGCCUUGAAGAGAUAACCAAGUAAGAUAAGUGCUAAAGGGGAAAAGAAGUCUUGGUCUCAUGUUUCGGGUAUUCAGAGACAAAGUGCAAUUGUCAGAGGCAUGAGAAACCGGCCAUGGGUGCGGGGAGUCACAAGCCAAAUGGGGGUGGGGACAAUUUAUCUUGUCAGGAAGUCGGCAUGUGAAGCAGGAGCAGGGCAAGGGGCGGACGGGGGUCCCUCUGGACCCUCAUACGUAGCAGACCCCGGGAUUCUUUCAUUUCCAACCAGGCUGACUUCGGUCCUGCCAUUCUGCAGAAAGCCGGCCAGAUCAGGUCAGUUUCUUUCCCUGGCUCGCACAAGGAAGCUGUGAGGUAAGAGUCCUCUCUCUGAGCCCUUCUCUGCCUCGUCCAGAGCUGGCACGGCCAGAACCGGCAAGGUCUAGGGCAUGGGCACGUCUCCGGGGCUGGCCUCAGCUCCCGAGCCCCGUGGGCUCACUCUCCAGCUAGCAGGCCAACUGUUCGGGGCUGGGGAGUAGUGGGUAGGUCUGGGCUUCCAGAGACCGACUUCUCGAGAGGCGGGACAACCUCGCCGAGCGACUGAUCCUAUCUGGCUGUGAAGGUCAUCAGAAAGAGGGACGGGCUCCGCGCUUUGACCUGCAGGUUGGGCCCGUGGUGUCCUUUGGGGAGGCAGGAAGAACGUAGCCAACGGCACGCAGGAGGCAGAGACCUGCCUUCUCUCUUAACCAUGUGGCCUUAGUCAACUUCUGAUAGGGCAAAGAUAGGAUAAAUUUGGCAGAGAGGGAAAGGUUAGGACCUGAGGUCCCCGGGUGGGGAAAAACACACAUUUUGGAACAAUGCUGGGAGUGUCUGACCACAGCAAGCCCCCUUAGGCCUUGCGGUUCCUCUUGAGAAUGUAGCAGGCACCUACCCACCCCCCCUCGGGUUUCCCUCAGGAAUCCGACCAUCAAAAUACCUGACUAAAAUAGGUGAACCAUAAAACUCACGUUAUAGGAGGGACAGUAUGACCACCGGCCGGUUUCUCACACAAUGGAGCCGAGCCAAUCAGGAGUGGAUGACCCAGCACCGAGAGCUAUCUAGCCAAGAAGGUUGGACCUGAGAAGGAACGAGGUGAAGGCAAGCGGGGGUGACCAGAACCCUAGAAAACAAAGACCCUUGCCUACAGUCGGGAGCGUUCACCUUUGAACACCCCCUCUCUGCAAAGAGAGAGCUUUCCCACUAUUCUUACUUUCGUAUAUUCUGAUUAACCUCUGUCUGCUGCUCAUUUAAUUCUGUCCUCUUCUUCACUCUUCGACACGGAGAGACAACGAACCCAGGGUAUCGAGGUAAAAAAAAAAAAAAAUCCUUC
This is a long non-coding RNA of Lynx canadensis (Canada lynx), 2763 nucleotides long. RefSeq lists it as uncharacterized. The record is from RefSeq and is a predicted model, not a curated record. The transcript is spliced from 3 exons. Lineage: Eukaryota; Metazoa; Chordata; Mammalia; Carnivora; Felidae.